AUAGAAUACUCAAGCUAUGCAUCCAACGCGUUGGGAGCUCUCCCAUAUGGUCGACCUGCAGGCGGCCGCGAAUUCACUAGUGAUUAGAGUUUGAUCAUGGCUCAGAAUGUACGCUGGCGGCACGCCUAACACAUGCAAGUCGAGCGAGGUACUUGUACCUAGCGGCAGACGGGUGCGUAACAUGUGGGAAUCUGCCUUUUGGUUCGGAACAACACGGGGAAACUUGUGCUAAUACCGGAUAAGUCCUAACGGAGAAAGAUUUAUCGCCGAAAGAUGAGCCCGCACUAGAUUAGCUUGUUGGUAAGGUAAAAGCUUACCAAGGCUACGAUCUAUAGCUGAUUUGAGAGGAUGAUCAGCCACACUGGGACUGAGACACGGCCCAGACUCCUACGGGAGGCAGCAGUGGGGAAUCUUGCACAAUGGAGGAAACUCUGAUGCAGCGAUGCCGCGUGAGUGAAGAAGGCCCUUGGGUUGUAAAGCUCUUUUGUCGGGAAAGAUAAUGACUGUACCCGAAGAAUAAGGUCCGGCUAACUUCGUGCCAGCAGCCGCGGUAAUACGAAGGGACCUAGCGUAAUUCGGAAUUACUGGGCGUAAAGCGCGCGUAGGCGGUUAAGUAAGUUAAUUGUGAAAGCCCAAAGCUCAACUUUGGAAUUGCAAUUAAAACUACUUAGCUAGAGUUUAUCAGAGGAAAGCGGAAUACAUAGUGUAGAGGUGAAAUUCGUAGAUAUUAUGUAGAACACCAGUUGCGAAGGCGGCUUUCUGGGAUAACACUGACGCUGAGGUGCGAAAGUAUGGGUAGCGAAGAGGAUUAGAUACCCUCGUAGUCCAUACCGUAAACGAUGAUUGUUAGAUGUUGGGAAUUUAUUUUCAGUAUCACAGCUAACGCGUUAAACAAUCCGCCUGGGGAGUACGACCGCAAGGUUAAAACUCAAAUGAAUUGACGGGGACCCGCACAAGCGGUGGAGCAUGUGGUUUAAUUCGAAGCUACGUGCAGAACCUUACCAACACUUGACAUGUCUGUCGCGGAUUCCAGGGAUGGGAUUCCUUCGGUUCGGCCGGACAGAACACAGGUGCUGCAUGGCUGUCGUCAGCUCGUGUCGUGAGAUGUUGGGUUAAGUCCCGCAACGAGCGCAACCCCCUACUUCUAGUUGCCAUCAGGUUAAGCUGGGCACUCUAGUAGGACUGCCUGUGAUAAGCAGGAGGAAGGUUGGGAUGACGUCAAGUCCUCAUGGCCCUUACGUGUUGGGCUACACACGUGCUACAAUGGCAGUGACAAUGAGAUGCUAAACAGCGAUGUUAAGCUAAACUCAAAAACCUGCCUCAGUUCGGAUUGCACUCUGCAACUCGAGUGCAUGAAGCUGGAAUCGCUAGUAAUCGCUCAUCAGCGCGGAGCGGUGAAUACGUUCCCGGGUCUUGUACACACCGCCCGUCACACCAUGGAAGUUGGUUUUACCUUAAGGCAUGUCACUAACCCUCGGGAAGUGCGUGACCACGGUAUGAUCGGCGACUGGGGUGAAGUCGUAACAAGGUAAAUCGAAUUCCCGCGGCCGCCAUGGCGGCCGGGAGCAUGCGACGUCGGGCCCA
RNAcentral lists this ribosomal RNA (1584 nucleotides) under uncultured bacterium. RNAcentral's name for it is "partial 16S ribosomal RNA". It matches the Rfam family "Bacterial small subunit ribosomal RNA". The record is from RNAcentral.